UUUCGCAAUGCCCGAAAGGGUGACGAAGCGACGCCGCGUGUGGGAAGAAGGCCUUCGGGUUGUAAACCACUGUCGGGAAUUAGGAAAUGCAGGAAUGUUAAUAGCAUUCUUGCUUGACCAAGUCCGGAGGAAGCCACGGCUAACUCUGUGCCAGCAGCCGCGGUAAUACAGAGGCGGCAAGCGUUGUUCGGAAUUAUUGGGCGUAAAGAGCACGUAGGCGGCCUUGCAAGUCAGUUGUGAAAUCCUUCCGCUCAACGGAAGAACUGCAUCUGAUACUACAGGGCUAGAGUGCGGAAGGGGAGAGUGGAACUUCUGGUGGAGCGGUGAAAUGCGUAGAUAUCAGAAGGAACACCGGCGGCGAAGGCGACUCUCUAGUCCGUAACUGACGCUGAGUGUGCGAAAGCUAGGGGAGCAAACGGGAUUAGAUACCCCGGUAGUCCUAGCCGUAAACGAUGGGCACUAAGUAGAGGGGUUUUA
RNAcentral lists this ribosomal RNA (477 nucleotides) under uncultured bacterium. Its description in RNAcentral is "bacterial SSU rRNA". It matches the Rfam family "Bacterial small subunit ribosomal RNA", at positions 364 to 833 of the family's 1533-position model. The record is from RNAcentral.